RNAcentral lists this ribosomal RNA (1653 nucleotides) under Vibrio alginolyticus. Its description in RNAcentral is "partial 23S ribosomal RNA". It matches the Rfam family "Bacterial large subunit ribosomal RNA", at positions 607 to 2247 of the family's 2925-position model. The record is from RNAcentral. Lineage: Bacteria; Pseudomonadati; Pseudomonadota; Gammaproteobacteria; Vibrionales; Vibrionaceae.
UUUGUAUAAUGGGUCAGCGACUUAUAUUCAGUGGCAAGGUUAACCAUCUAGGGGAGCCGUAGGGAAACCGAGUCUUAACUGGGCGUUCAGUCUCUGGAUAUAGACCCGAAACCAGGUGAUCUAGCCAUGGGCAGGUUGAAGGUUGAGUAACAUCAACUGGAGGACCGAACCGACUAAUGUUGAAAAAUUAGCGGAUGACUUGUGGCUAGGGGUGAAAGGCCAAUCAAACCUGGAGAUAGCUGGUUCUCCCCGAAAGCUAUUUAGGUAGCGCCUCGGACGAAUACUACUGGGGGUAGAGCACUGUUAAGGCUAGGGGGUCAUCCCGACUUACCAACCCUUUGCAAACUCCGAAUACCAGUAAGUACUAUCCGGGAGACACACGGCGGGUGCUAACGUCCGUCGUGGAGAGGGAAACAACCCAGACCGCCAGCUAAGGUCCCAAAUUACUACUAAGUGGGAAACGAUGUGGGAAGGCUCAGACAGCCAGGAUGUUGGCUUAGAAGCAGCCAUCAUUUAAAGAAAGCGUAAUAGCUCACUGGUCGAGUCGGCCUGCGCGGAAGAUGUAACGGGGCUAAGUAGUAAACCGAAGCUGCGGCAAUAUACUUUUGUAUAUUGGGUAGGGGAGCGUUCUGUAAGCGGUUGAAGGUGUGUGGUAACGCAUGCUGGACGUAUCAGAAGUGCGAAUGCUGACAUGAGUAACGAUAAAGGGGGUGAAAAACCUCCUCGCCGGAAGACCAAGGGUUCCUGUCCAACGUUAAUCGGGGCAGGGUAAGUCGACCCCUAAGGCGAGGCCGAAAGGCGUAGUCGAUGGGAAACGGGUUAAUAUUCCCGUACUUCUUACAAUUGCGAUGGGGGGACGGAGAAGGCUAGGUGGGCCUGGCGACGGUUGUCCAGGUUCAAGUGCGUAGGCUGAAGAGUUAGGUAAAUCCGGCUCUUUUUAAGGCUGAGACACGACGUCGAGCUACUACGGUAGUGAAGUCAUUGAUGCCAUGCUUCCAGGAAAAGCCUCUAAGCUUCAGAUUGUAAGGAAUCGUACCCCAAACCGACACAGGUGGUCGGGUAGAGAAUACCAAGGCGCUUGAGAGAACUCGGGUGAAGGAACUAGGCAAAAUGGUACCGUAACUUCGGGAGAAGGUACGCUCUCGACGGUGAAGUCCCUCGCGGAUGGAGCUAUUGAGAGUCGCAGAUACCAGGUGGCUGCAACUGUUUAUUAAAAACACAGCACUGUGCAAAAUCGCAAGAUGACGUAUACGGUGUGACGCCUGCCCGGUGCCGGAAGGUUAAUUGAUGGGGUUAGACUUCGGUCGAAGCUCUUGAUCGAAGCCCCGGUAAACGGCGGCCGUAACUAUAACGGUCCUAAGGUAGCGAAAUUCCUUGUCGGGUAAGUUCCGACCUGCACGAAUGGCGUAAUGAUGGCCACGCUGUCUCCACCCGAGACUCAGUGAAAUUGAAAUCGCUGUGAAGAUGCAGUGUACCCGCGGCUAGACGGAAAGACCCCGUGAACCUUUACUACAGCUUGGCACUGAACAUUGACCCUACAUGUGUAGGAUAGGUGGGAGGCUUUGAAGCGCAGUCGCUAGAUUGCGUGGAGCCGUCCUUGAAAUACCACCCUUGUAGUGUUGAUGUUCUAACGUUGACCCCUUAUCGGGGUUG